GAUUAGUGCAGGAAUCGAUUGCUGUGCUAUCAACUUAGUGUUUGAAUUUAUGGAGUCACAUACAUAAGUCAGAUACUGUAGGAAAGUAUUAGCUUAUACUUAUAUAUCCAAUUUGAAAGUACUUGACUUGAUUGAAUAUAUAAGUUAACUUGAUUAAGAAUUAAGUUUUGAGUCAAACGGGAUUGAAGAGUUGACUAUGUCUAGUUAGCACUACACAUGAGGUUCAGGUUCAAUCCCGAGGAUGAACUAUUUUUGAUCCAUGAUCUAUGGAGCAUAUGAGAGAUUGGAUUUAAGUACUAAAUAAUUUUAAACUAGAUCUAAAUUAAUUAGACUUAAUUGGAUCCAAAAUUCAAGUUAGACUUGAUACAAAAAUUCUAAAGAGUUUGGGAUUGACAGUCUUUCGAAAUUAUUUCAAACCAGCUUCGAAUUGGAUUCGAAUCGAAUCCAUUUUGGAUGAGAUCUUAGGAAUCCUACUUAUACUAAAAUUCUCCUCUCUUUUGGGCCGACCAGCACCUGGUAUGGUGCUGGUUGUGGGCGUCCCAUAUGGGUGUUGGAAUGGGUGCAUUGUGGGUGUCUUGUGUGGUUCCAAUUCUAUCUCAUUUAGGAGUCCUUCUUUCAUGAGUAUUGGACUGAUUCAAAGCAUGUUUGAAUUAGGAGUUCUAUACUUAUUGGAUCAUGGGAAUCAUCUAUAAAUAGAGAAGGUCUCUACUUAUAGAUACAUAGCAAACAAAUCAGAUUGAGAGGAGAGAGAGAGGCGUGAGAAGAGGAGCUCCUUCCUUCCUUGGCAUCUUCCCAUCCUUGCUGCCCAUUCUCUCCUUGCCAUGGGCCCUUUUUAGACAUCCCCCUUUGCUGGUAUGAGGUGUCACACCAGCACCUCUCCUCCCUCAUUUGGUUGGGUUGCGAAGGUGAUUUGAUCGGAGUUUAUCCUACUUUCCUGCGUUGUCUUGUAUGCAUGCGAAGCAGAGGGUCUGCACAUCCAGACCUCUGCAAAGGUUGAUUUCAGAUUUUUGAAAAUUUGAUCUUCUAUUCUACUGCUAUCCAGGUAAGAAUUUGAUCCUUAUUCAUGU
This 1067-nucleotide long non-coding RNA is filed under the name Elaeis guineensis (African oil palm). RNAcentral describes it as "long non-coding RNA (EGUI_LNC081006)". The record is from RNAcentral. Lineage: Eukaryota; Viridiplantae; Streptophyta; Magnoliopsida; Arecales; Arecaceae.